UAGAAACAUAGAAAAGUAUGGUCCUCUGUGGUUAAGCAAUCAUCCAAAAGUUGUUAAUUACUGUCAAAGUUAAUGGAAUAUGCAGAGACAAAAAAGUCCGAGCAGAGAACUUUAGUUUCGCGACACAAUUAUAGGCAACUGAUGCCCUUAAAAAAAAACUGUUAUAGAUUAAAAAGUAGAAGAUUUGAUCAACAUAUGAUUGUAAACAAAGUAGAGUGUCGAUGAAAAUUUGGU
This 234-nucleotide long non-coding RNA is filed under the name Elaeis guineensis (African oil palm). RNAcentral's name for it is "long non-coding RNA (EGUI_LNC011671)". The record is from RNAcentral. Lineage: Eukaryota; Viridiplantae; Streptophyta; Magnoliopsida; Arecales; Arecaceae.